Molecule: long non-coding RNA, 3455 nt
Organism: Parus major (Great Tit)
Lineage: Eukaryota; Metazoa; Chordata; Aves; Passeriformes; Paridae
Exons: 4
Source: RefSeq, a predicted model, not a curated record
CCCAUAUUAAAUCUGAGUUGAACUAUAUUCUUCAGAGAUGCACUGUAUUAUUUUUAACUGAUGCAUUCAUGGCAACACUAUAAUCUCACCAGAGCUACUGGAUCGUGUUGUUCUAGGGCUUUCUGUGUUUUAUGAAGUCACUGCCUCUCAGUCUAAGUGCAUCACUCUUCUGACUGACCUCCAUAUAAAAGCUGUCCAUACUUUUAGAGUUACAGCCAUAAGUGCCCUGAUAUAGAAGCAUAUACUCGGCUCGUUUCAGAAAAAUUACCUCCUUUUUAGAGUAUUUUGACAGAACCUCUUUGGAAGAGUGAACAUGGAGCAGAAACUCCAUCAAGUGAUGAUGUCUUUGUCCUCUCAAUGGGUGAUGUGCUUGGGAGUGAGAGAAGAUUUUCAAAAGGUUUCAUGCCAUCUCAGUGUCUGAAAGUUCAGGUUCACAAAAGCAUUUCUCAUUGUUCUAGAAAGCUCAGACAAUCUCUUUGUUUUAUCUGCUAGAUGAUCUCCAGCCCUGCUGAAACAUCCUGAACAUAAGGUAGUUAGAUAUUUCUGGUUCUGAACUCUAAAGAUGAGGUCUCCAAGAAGUAUCAGAUAAUGAAAGAGAAAUAAUUUCAUCUUUGGAAAAGAAGAGUUUUUUUUGGGUUCAAGUUACAAAGUUCAAGUAUUUUUCAAGCUUUGAGUAUCAAGUGCUGUAUUUUAUAUAUCUCUAUAUAUAUCACACUUCUUUACUGUGCAUGUGACCAAGCGCUGGAGCAGAUUGCCCAGAGAGGCUGUGGAAUCUCCCUCACUAGAGAUAUUCCAGACCUGUCCAGAUGCCUUCUGUACUCUGGGAUGAUCCUGCUUGAGCAGGGAGAUUGGACCUGAUGACCCACUGUGGUACCUUCUGACCUGACCAAUUCUGUGAUUUGUGACUUACAAUGCUUGCUCAUUAUAGUGUCAUAAACAUAUUGAGCAAUUCAGCUGAACAAGGCAGAGCCACCUCAGAAAGGUUCCUAAAAUAAUGACAUAAAAACAAUUUUAUGUGUUGGAUAUUUUGAGGGGAUUGUUUGGUUAGUUUGAUGUAAGGCAAGUUCAAAGAUUACAAAGAAUAAGUGGUCAAACUUCAGCAGGAAUUUAAAUGUAACAGAAAUCUCUGUCUGUGCUUCCUCAGUGACACCCCAGCUGGAACACUGCAGCUGCAUGCAAAUAUCAAAUUGCUUCUUAGAGUGAGUUAUGAAAAACUGGACAGAAAAAACAGCAGACUGGCACUGAGAACACACAAAUGGAAAAUGAAGCUAAAAAAGAUUUGAAGAAAAGCUUUAAAAAUCUUCUAUUUGGAUUCUGGAAAAUGGCUCAUUAAUUACAGCUGGAAAUAUGAAAUGUGAAAGGCUGCCAGCAGAGUCAGCUCAGUUUUAGUUUGUCUGCCUGGCAUCAAAGCUACGAGAUGAAUGACCCCAUGUUCCUACUCCUUGUUUUGUAUUUAAGGAUGAUAUGGCUGAAGCAGGUUGAAAUUACAGCUCCCAUCUAUCACAUGAAGAGCAGCAAUCACCAGCAUUUAAUAAUCACAGCCUUCAGAAUGCAACAUGAGCUACAAAAGCAUACAAAUAGGCUGGGAGCAUGCAGAGUUACGGAGGAAGGAACAGCGUGUUCCUCAAAAUUUGCAAGCACCCUUUUGGAGGACUGCUGUGAAGGAGAACUGCCAUGGAGGUUGGCACCAGUCCUUGUGCCAAGGCUUGCUGUGGAUUAUUCUGGACCAAUGGCUUUCCCAGCAGUAGAUGCUAUUGAGAUUUCUCACACAGCUUUCAUGCUCCAUCCUUUGGAAAAUCCUUGGAACGUGUUCUGGCUAUCAGGGAGUGAAAUUUUUGGGUGGGCUGCUUGCCUGGUGUAUAACAAUCUGGGCAGAAUGGAUACCUUUGGAUUUCUACAGUUCAGCUAGCAAUUGAUUUUCUCUGGAGACAGAAUUAGCGUUGCCAAGACAGUUUCUUGGCCCAGUUACCAUUUACACUGUGGGCUCGCCCUGGAAAACCAUGCAGGCAUAUCUGGGGAUGUCUUCAGUCAGCAUAGGGUGGGUUGACUGUAUUGUCUGACCAGGUUUUGUGUGUGUCUUUCAUUUGUUUAUGCCUGCAAAUAGACCAUAUUGUCAAUUCCAGAUUAAAACGCUAUUGAAAAACUAUGAUUGCUUGUUUUCCAGGAAAACUAUGAAAAUUGUGAAUAACCCCUGUUGCAUUUUCUUUUUCUGAAGGAUAUUUAUUAAUUUUUUGUCCAGAUUGAACAAGGAAAACCUACUCUUUUUAAUUUCCUAUUCCACAUCUACUAAGGUAAUGGCUACCAAAGUAGAACAAGAGUGGCAUGACACAGGAAUGUUUGGCAUUGCAAAAUCCCAAGAGGGUCGAAAUCUCAGCAACCUUUUCCCAUAAGAUAAAUAGCUUAAAUUUAAAAUGAAAUGAAGCAUAUUGGAACAAAGAAUACAAAGAAGGGGUAGAAAGAAUUGAUACUGCUUACAGUGGCGUAACAUUUUCUAGAUUGAACUGAUUCAUAUUUCAGAAAACUCUGAAUGUAAUUUGGGUAUUUAUAUUAUGAACUGCAAAGCCUGUGAAGUCAGUGCAGUCCUUCUGUUGUCCCAGUGAUCUGUGAAUUAGGGACUUGCUGGAGAUCUGGAUUAGCCUGGCUACGUGCAGAAAACAUUCUUGCAUGUUCAAAUCCCAUUUCACCUUUCUCAUGUCUCAUUCUCCCCUAAGAACCAUUGCCUGUUUAAUGAUCAUAAUAACAAGAACUGCAAAUAAGCUGUGUUUUUCAUUUUGUUUAAUUUUUUAUAGAUGGAAAACACAUGGAUGACUGAAAGGGUAGUUACUAAAGUCUCAGCCUGAAAUGUAACCAAUGUAACCAAGUCUCCCUGAUCUCUUGUUAGACUAAUCAGAGGGACUUCCUUUUUUUUUUUUUGGCACUUCUUAUUGCUUGACUUCAGUGAUAUCUCAAAACAUGCAUUUGAGACAGUCUCUGCCAUGCCACUACUUCUUGAGAGCAGAUUUAAUUUCACUUUGGCGAGGAGAUUCAGUGUGCCUAACAUUGGUGCUGAAAUCCCUCAUGCUGUCAAAGACUGGAAAAUAAUCUCUUCCCUAUACCUUCUGUCACAUACACAGAUGUAGAAACAUAUCCUGGGGCAAAAUCCUGAGCAUGCUAAAUCCAGCAGUGCCAUUAAGGUUGGGAUGGAAUAGCAUAAACAUGUAUCAUCCAAAUCUGUAUCUAUAUCUCCAGUACAGGUAGGAUUUAUUGUAAGAAGAAAAACAAAGUAAAAACACAGCUGAUAAUUUGAUGAAUUUAUGUUUUUUGAAUGAAGAAGAACUAGUUAUCACCAAAGUUACCUGGAUGAAGCUGAAUGUUCUGCUUAUCGCUUUGAUAUAUUUGAUUUCUUCAAAGUGAAUUAGUUCUAGUUUUGUCAUAAACAAUAUCUCUUUUUUAAUAAAGAUUUUUUUCAAAGCUUC